AUGUUUAUAUUUUAAAUUUUAUACUACAAGUGAAAUUCUAGAAUUGACUGGUUUGGGUUGAUAAUAAUUUGCGAUAGAACUAGGAGUGAAAUCCUAGAAUGACAAUCAAAAUAUAAUUAUAUAAU
This 125-nucleotide small RNA is filed under the name Arabidopsis thaliana (thale cress). RNAcentral's name for it is "ATSL043050". Lineage: Eukaryota; Viridiplantae; Streptophyta; Magnoliopsida; Brassicales; Brassicaceae. The record is from RNAcentral.